This 472-nucleotide ribosomal RNA is filed under the name uncultured bacterium. Its description in RNAcentral is "bacterial SSU rRNA". It matches the Rfam family "Bacterial small subunit ribosomal RNA", at positions 335 to 799 of the family's 1533-position model. The record is from RNAcentral.
ACUCCUACGGGAGGCAGCAGUGGGAAGUAUUGCACAAUGGGGAACCGUACUGNAGCCAUGCCGCGUGUGUGAAGAAGGCCUUCGGGUUGUAAAAGCACUUUCAGUAGGGAGGAAGGUAGUGUAGUUAACACCUGCACUAUUUGACGUUACCUACAGAAGAAGCACCGGCUAACUCCGUGCCAGCAGCCGCGGUAAUACGGAGGGUGCGAGCGUUAUCCGGAUUUAUUGGGUUUAAAGGGUUCCGUAGGCGGAUUAAUAAGUCAGUGGUGAAAUCCCAUCGCUUAACGAUGGAACUGCCAUUGAUACUGUUAGUCUUGAAUGAGGGUGCAGUGGUUGGAAUGUGUAGUGUAGCGGUGAAAUGCAUAGAUAUUACACAGAACACCGAUUGCGAAGGCAGAUCACUAACCUAAAUUGACGCUGAGGGACGAAAGCGUGGGGAGGCAAACAGGAUUAGAUACCCUGGUAGACUGUC